This 279-nucleotide ribosomal RNA is filed under the name uncultured bacterium. RNAcentral describes it as "partial 16S ribosomal RNA". It matches the Rfam family "Bacterial small subunit ribosomal RNA", at positions 506 to 784 of the family's 1533-position model. The record is from RNAcentral.
UGCCAGCAGCCGCGGUAAUACGAGGGGUGCUAGCGUUGUUCGGAAUCAUUGGGCGUAAAGCGGGUGUAGGCGGCCUUAUAAGUCAGAUGUGAAAUCCCUGGGCUCAACCCAGGACGUGCAUUUGAAACUAUAAGGCUUGAGUAUCAGAGAGGUUCGCGGAAUUCCAGGUGUAGUGGUGAAAUACGUAGAUAUCUGGAGGAACAUCGGUGGAGAAGUCGGCGGACUGGCUGAAUACUGACGCUCAGACCCGAAAGCGUGGGGAGCAAACAGGAUUAGAUA